This is a non-coding RNA of Trichonephila clavata, 73 nucleotides long. NCBI's taxonomy places the organism in Eukaryota, Metazoa, Arthropoda, Arachnida, Araneae, Nephilidae. The record is from the annotation of a GenBank genome assembly.
GUCCUUAUAGUGUAACGGAUAGCGCUUUGGACUUCUAAUCCAAAGGUCGUGGGUUCGAAUCCCACCUGGGAUG